RNAcentral lists this ribosomal RNA (429 nucleotides) under Verrucomicrobiota bacterium. Its description in RNAcentral is "Verrucomicrobia bacterium partial 16S ribosomal RNA". It matches the Rfam family "Bacterial small subunit ribosomal RNA", at positions 355 to 776 of the family's 1533-position model. Lineage: Bacteria; Pseudomonadati; Verrucomicrobiota. The record is from RNAcentral.
UAGGGAAUCUUCGGCAAUGGGGGGAACCCUGACCGAGCAACGCCGCGUGAGUGAAGAAGGUUUUCGGAUCGUAAAGCUCUGUUGUUAAGGAAGAACGAGUGUGAGAAUGGAAAGUUCAUGCUGUGACGGUACUUAACCAGAAAGGGACGGCUAACUACGUGCCAGCAGCCGCGGUAAUACGUAGGUCCCGAGCGUUGUCCGGAUUUAUUGGGCGUAAAGCGAGCGCAGGCGGUUAGAAAAGUCUGAAGUGAAAGGCAGUGGCUCAACCAUUGUAGGCUUUGGAAACUGUUUAACUUGAGUGCAGAAGGGGAGAGUGGAAUUCCAUGUGUAGCGGUGAAAUGCGUGGAUAUAUGGAGGAACACCGGUGGCGAAAGCGGCUCUCUGGUCUGUAUCUGACGCUGAGGCUCGAAAGCGUGGGGAGCGAACAGG